RNAcentral lists this ribosomal RNA (253 nucleotides) under uncultured bacterium. RNAcentral describes it as "partial 16S ribosomal RNA". It matches the Rfam family "Bacterial small subunit ribosomal RNA", at positions 524 to 776 of the family's 1533-position model. The record is from RNAcentral.
UACGUAGGGGGCAAGCGUUGUCCGGAAUCAUUGGGCGUAAAGAGCGUGUAGGCGGCUCGGUAAGUCCGCUCUGAAAGCCCGGGGCUCAACCCCGGGAGGCGGGCGGAUACUGUCGGGCUAGAGUCCGGAAGAGGCGAGUGGAAUUCCUGGUGUAGCGGUGAAAUGCGCAGAUAUCAGGAGGAACACCAAUGGCGAAGGCAGCUCGCUGGGACGGUACUGACGCUGAGACGCGAAAGCGUGGGGAGCAAGCAGG